RNAcentral lists this transfer RNA (85 nucleotides) under Haemophilus influenzae. RNAcentral's name for it is "tRNA-Leu(tag)". It matches the Rfam family "tRNA". Rfam says of the family: Transfer RNA (tRNA) molecules are approximately 80 nucleotides in length. Their secondary structure includes four short double-helical elements and three loops (D, anti-codon, and T loops). Further hydrogen bonds mediate the characteristic L-shaped molecular structure. tRNAs have two regions of fundamental functional importance: the anti-codon, which is responsible for specific mRNA codon recognition, and the 3' end, to which the tRNAs corresponding amino acid is attached (by aminoacyl-tRNA synthetases). tRNAs cope with the degeneracy of the genetic code in two manners: having more than one tRNA (with a specific anti-codon) for a particular amino acid; and 'wobble' base-pairing, i.e. permitting non-standard base-pairing at the 3rd anti-codon position. Lineage: Bacteria; Pseudomonadati; Pseudomonadota; Gammaproteobacteria; Pasteurellales; Pasteurellaceae. RNAcentral also lists the same sequence under 17 other names. The record is from RNAcentral.
GCGGGACUGGCGAAAUUGGUAGACGCACCAGAUUUAGGUUCUGGCGCCGAGAGGUAUGUGGGUUCAAGUCCCUCGUCCCGCACCA